Molecule: ribosomal RNA, 381 nt
Filed under: uncultured bacterium
Lineage: Bacteria
Description: bacterial SSU rRNA
Rfam family: Bacterial small subunit ribosomal RNA
Source: RNAcentral
AACGAACGCUGGCGGCGCGCCUAACACAUGCAAGUCGAACGAGAAGGCGUAGCAAUACGCUUGUAAAGUGGCGAACGGGUGAGGAAUACGUGGGUAACCUACCCUCGAGUGGGGAAUAACCAACCGAAAGGUUGGCUAAUGCCGCGUACGCUUCCAUCUCUUCGGAGGUGGAAGGAAAGCUGUACCGUGGGUACAGCGCUCAAGGAUGGGCUCACGUCCUAUCAGCUUGUUGGUAGGGUAACGGCCACCAAGGCAACGACGGGUAGCUGGUCUGAGAGGACGAUCAGCCACACUGGCACUGCGACACGGGCCAGACUCCUACGGGAGGCAGCAGUGAGGAAUAUUGCGCAAUGGGCAAAGCCUGACGCAGCGACGCCGCGU